This 460-nucleotide ribosomal RNA is filed under the name uncultured bacterium. RNAcentral's name for it is "partial 16S ribosomal RNA". It matches the Rfam family "Bacterial small subunit ribosomal RNA", at positions 338 to 795 of the family's 1533-position model. The record is from RNAcentral.
CCUACGGGAGGCAGCAGUGAGGAAUAUUGGUCAAUGGACGAGAGUCUGAACCAGCCAAGUAGCGUGAAGGAUGACUGCCCUACGGGUUGUAAACUUCUUUUAUAUGGGAGUAAAAUGUUCCACGUGUGGGUUUUUGUAUGUACCAUAUGAAUAAGGAUCGGCUAACUCCGUGCCAGCAGCCGCGGUAAUACGGAGGAUCCGAGCGUUAUCCGGAUUUAUUGGGUUUAAAGGGUGCGUAGGUGGAUUGUUAAGGCAGUUGUGAAAGUUUGCGGCUCAACCGUAAAAUUGCAGUUGAAACUGGCAGUCUUGAGUACAGUAGAGGUGGGCGGAAUUCGUGGUGUAGCGGUGAAAUGCUUAGAUAUCACGAAGAACUCCGAUUGCGAAGGCAGCUCACUGGACUGCAACUGACACUGAGGCUCGAAAGUGUGGGUAUCAAACAGGAUUAGAUACCCUGGUAGUC